Molecule: unclassified non-coding RNA, 2278 nt
Filed under: Hevea brasiliensis (rubber tree)
Lineage: Eukaryota; Viridiplantae; Streptophyta; Magnoliopsida; Malpighiales; Euphorbiaceae
Source: RNAcentral
UUCUUAUCCUGUUAGAACUGAAACAAAAUCUCUGCAAAUAAUGGCGAGCUGUUUGAGAAGAUAUGGAAGAAGACUAUCCGUUUCAAUUUGCGAGAAGCGGGAACUCUCCACAGCUUGUGAGGGUAAGGUUAUUCAACAACAACAACAACAAACUGCUAAAUUGUUGAACCUUUGUUCUGCCAUCAACCAAGCUCUCCAUCUCGCCUUAGAAACCGAUCCUCGUUCUUAUGUGUUUGGAGAAGAUGUGAGCUUUGGUGGGGUAUUUCGUUGCACAACUGGACUAACUGAACGAUUUGGCAAAAAUCGAGUCUUCAAUACUCCUCUUUGUGAGCAGGGCAUUGUUGGAUUUGGCAUUGGUCUGGCAGCAAUGGGGAACAGGGCCAUAGCAGAAAUUCAAUUUGCAGAUUAUAUCUAUCCUGCUUUUGAUCAGAUUGUUAAUGAAGCCGCAAAGUUCAGAUACCGGAGUGGGAAUCAAUAUGAUUGUGGAGGUUUAACCAUAAGAGCACCAUAUGGAGCUGUGGGCCAUGGUGGACAUUAUCACUCUCAAUCCCCUGAAGCUUUCUUUUGUCAUGUUCCUGGUAUCAAAGUGGUUAUCCCUCGAAGUCCACAGCAAGCAAAAGGAUUAUUAUUGUCAUGCAUACGGGAUCCAAACCCUGUUGUCUUUUUUGAACCAAAAGUACUGUGCUCUGUCUGCCCAGAUUAAAUAAAUAAUUGGCCCAUAUUUUUCAAUUCAACAUUUCUGUGUUUGAUGUCAAGUGAAUCCCUUGGAUUUGCAGUGGCUUUAUCGCUUGGCAGUAGAAGAGGUCCCUGAGCAUGAUUAUAUGUUGCCAUUGUCAGAGGCAGAGGUAUGCUACUUCUGCCUUUUAGGGAAGAUUUUUGGAAUUGUAAAUCUGAACAAAAUUGCAAUUAAAAUAUCAGGUGAUCCGAGAAGGCAGUGACAUAACUCUUGUUGGUUGGGGAGCACAACUGUCUAUCAUGGAGCAGGCUUGUACUGAUGCCGAGAAGGUAAAUUGCCACAAAAUUCCCUUUCAUGAAACUUGAACUCUACCUUCCAUGAGUCAUGAUUUGUAUCCUGCAUCAAAAGUGCUAUAGAAGGAUUCUUGGUAUAUUUGUUAGGCUAAAUGACAUUAUCUUUAGUGAACCUUUUUGGUUGAUGGGCCAAUAUUGUUAGAAAUGGUAUUAGAAUUGACUUUGUGUGUGGUUAUUCUGUUUUAUUUCUGUUGUGAGCCAAUAGGAAUUCAAAAUUGUUGCUCUUAUUUUUGUGCCGCCCGUACCUAGCAUGAUCACCAAGGGUUAUGAGUUGGAAAUUUUCACAUAGCCUAUAGCUCACAUUAAUAUUCCAAUGGAGACAUCCAUAAGGCUGUUUGGCAUUGUUAUUUGAGCUAUUGUUGAGAAAAACACUACUUUAAAUAUAUUAAUUAGAGGCCAUUAAAAAUUGGUUUUAAGUUAAAUUUAACAUGUAUUAGUCAUAAGGACUCGAAAACAGCUAAACAACUUUUUCAAACUGUUUUUUGCAACAUCUAAAAUAUUGCCUUUGCAGAAUGUAUGUUAGACCUGAAAAGCAGUUUCAGCUAUCCCUUUUGGAUGAUGGGCCUGUGACACUAUAAAACCAUGUCACCAACAUGUAAACUCCCUUGAUAUCUUGUUGACAAUUAUACAAGGACAAGUUUAGCCAAGGAUAAGUACAUAUGAGCAUAACCUAUGUGAAGCUUGUACCAAAUUUGGAAGAAGGAUUAGGGCAACUCAAUGGGAAUUCAAUGCACAAUGGAAACUUUGUUAGCUUUGAGAAGGCUAGCAUUAAUUUUUGCAUGAGUUGAUAAAGAUUAAUAGCAAAAUGAUUGAACUAAUGAGGUGAAGGUAGAUGAAGGAGAAAUCGAUGAUGGAGCUAGCAGAAAUGAGCAGUAGGUGAGUUCUAAUACAUGAAUUAGAAGGAGAUUAACUAAUAUGUUCCAUAUGAGCUUCAUAAGCAAGAAGCAUAGAUUUAAAGAACACGGGAGGAGAUACCUGAUUAGAUUAACUGUUAUCAAGGACUUAUAUAUUGGAGGAAGGCCUUGGGUAAUGGCAUCACUUUGUUAUAGCAUGAAAGAGGUUGAUGAAUAGCUGCUAAAGCAUUGGCAGGUUCCUGAAAUAAUGGCACUAUGUAUCAAUGCAAAGCUCCUCUGUAAAGAUUAGCAAUCUGAAUUUGAGAUUAAGUUUGUGAGACAUGCAUUUUUCAAGAAAGUGCUAAUGCACUGACGCAGCAAAGCUAGAUAAAUCACACACACACACACACACACAC